GAUAGUAUUAUAAUAAGGCAUCUUGUUAGUAAUUAAAGCUAUGGCGGAUAAGGAUGAGCGUGCGCAAGAUUAGCUAGUUGGUGAGGUAACGGCUCACCAAGGCGACGAUCUUUAGCUGAUGUGAGAGCAUGAUCAGCCACACGGGCACUGAGACACGGGCCCGACUCCUACGGGAGGCAGCAGUGAGGAAUAUUAGUCAAUGGACGGAAGUCUGAACCAGCCAUGCCGCGUGAAGGAUGAAGGCGUUCUGCGUUGUAAACUUCUUUUAUUUAGGAAGAAACCACCGAUUUCUAUUGGUGUUGACGGUAUUAAAUGAAUAAGCACCGGCUAACUCCGUG
Molecule: ribosomal RNA, 338 nt
Filed under: uncultured bacterium
Lineage: Bacteria
Description: bacterial SSU rRNA
Rfam family: Bacterial small subunit ribosomal RNA
Source: RNAcentral